AUGGAUUGGCCGGCUCUCACCGGCUGCACCAUGGUCAUGGUCCUUCUCUUCCUACCAUUGAGUGCUUCCCAAGACCGGCUUGUCCCUGGCAGGGCGCUGUCCCCUGGUGACACCAUCGUCUCCGAUGAUGGUGGAUUUGCCUUGGGCUUCUUCAACCCCUCCAAUUCUUCUCCGGCCAGCCUGUACCUAGGCGUAUGGUACAACAACAUCCCUGAGCUCACCGUUGUGUGGGUCGCCAACCGAAAUACCCCGGCCACCAAUACAACUUCCUCAACACCGAAGCUCUCCCUCACCAACAGCUCUAAUCUGGUUCUCUCUGAUGGUGGUGGCGGAAGCCGUGUCGUUUGGACAACUGCAAACGUGACCACUGGUUUGGUCUGGUCUACCCCGACGGCGGUGCUUCUAAACACAGGAAAUGUCGUCUGA
This 426-nucleotide ribosomal RNA is filed under the name Triticum aestivum (bread wheat). RNAcentral's name for it is "partial small subunit ribosomal RNA". Lineage: Eukaryota; Viridiplantae; Streptophyta; Magnoliopsida; Poales; Poaceae. The record is from RNAcentral.